RNAcentral lists this ribosomal RNA (497 nucleotides) under uncultured bacterium. RNAcentral describes it as "partial 16S ribosomal RNA". It matches the Rfam family "Bacterial small subunit ribosomal RNA", at positions 28 to 507 of the family's 1533-position model. The record is from RNAcentral.
GAUGAACGCUGGCGGCGUGCCUAAUACAUGCAAGUCGAGCGAACAGACGAGGAUCUUGCUCCUCUGACGUUAGCGGCGGACGGGUGAGUAACACGUGGAUAACCUACCUAUAAGACUGGGAUAACUUCGGGAAACCGGAGCUAAUACCGGAUAAUAUAUUGAACCGCAUGGUUCAAUAGUGAAAUACGGUUUUUCUGUCACUUAUAGAUGGAUCCGCGCCGCAUUAGCUAGUUGGUAAGGUAACGGCUUACCAAGGCGACGAUGCGUAGCCGACCUGAGAGGGUGAUCGGCCACACUGGAACUGAGACACGGUCCAGACUCCUACGGGAGGCAGCAGUAGGGAAUCUUCCGCAAUGGGCGAAAGCAUGACGGAGCAACGCCGCGUGAGUGAUGAAGGUCUUCGGAUCGUAAAACUCUGUUAUUAGGGAAGAACAAAUGUGUAAGUAACUAUGCACGUCUUGACGGUACCUAAUAAGAAAGCCACGGCUAACUACGUG